UGGGGAAUAUUGCACAAUGGGCGCAAGCCUGAUGCAGCCAUGCCGCGUGUGUGAAGAAGGCCUUCGGGUUGUAAAGCACUUUCGGCGAGGAGGAAGGGUAGUGUGUUAAUAGCACAUUGCAUUGACGUUACUCGCAGAAGAAGCACCGGCUAACUCCGUGCCAGCAGCCGCGGUAAUACGGAGGGUGCAAGCGUUAAUCGGAAUUACUGGGCGUAAAGCGCACGCAGGCGGUUUGUUAAGUCAGAUGUGAAAUCCCCGCGCUUAACGUGGGAACUGCAUUUGAAACUGGCAAGCUAGAGUCUUGUAGAGGGGGGUAGAAUUCCAGGUGUAGCGGUGAAAUGCGUAGAGAUCUGGAGGAAUACCGGUGGCGAAGGCGGCCCCCUGGACAAAGACUGACGCUCAGGUGCGAAAGCGUGGGGAGCAAACA
This 427-nucleotide ribosomal RNA is filed under the name uncultured bacterium. Its description in RNAcentral is "partial 16S ribosomal RNA". It matches the Rfam family "Bacterial small subunit ribosomal RNA", at positions 355 to 774 of the family's 1533-position model. The record is from RNAcentral.